This 92-nucleotide transfer RNA is filed under the name Pontimonas sp. Its description in RNAcentral is "tRNA-Ser". It matches the Rfam family "tRNA". Rfam says of the family: Transfer RNA (tRNA) molecules are approximately 80 nucleotides in length. Their secondary structure includes four short double-helical elements and three loops (D, anti-codon, and T loops). Further hydrogen bonds mediate the characteristic L-shaped molecular structure. tRNAs have two regions of fundamental functional importance: the anti-codon, which is responsible for specific mRNA codon recognition, and the 3' end, to which the tRNAs corresponding amino acid is attached (by aminoacyl-tRNA synthetases). tRNAs cope with the degeneracy of the genetic code in two manners: having more than one tRNA (with a specific anti-codon) for a particular amino acid; and 'wobble' base-pairing, i.e. permitting non-standard base-pairing at the 3rd anti-codon position. Lineage: Bacteria; Bacillati; Actinomycetota; Actinomycetes; Micrococcales; Microbacteriaceae. The record is from RNAcentral.
GGAGACGUCGCAUAGUCCGGUCGAGUGCGCCCGCCUGCUAAGUGGGUAGGCAGUUUAUAGCUGUCUCGAGGGUUCAAAUCCCUCCGUCUCCG